Molecule: long non-coding RNA, 581 nt
Filed under: Gossypium raimondii (Peruvian cotton)
Lineage: Eukaryota; Viridiplantae; Streptophyta; Magnoliopsida; Malvales; Malvaceae
Description: long non-coding RNA (GRAI_LNC008543)
Source: RNAcentral
UUAUUAUGGCUAUAAAAAGCCAUUGAGAUACUGUAUGAAAGGGGGGUGAAGGGGAUACAAAGAAAAAGAGAGAAAACAGAUACAAGAAUUUUUUAAAUACAAAGGUUUUUUUUUUUUUGUUCUACAUUAUUGGCGUUCAUCAUUCUUUUACUAUAUAUCUAUAUUUUUUUCUUUUAUUUUUAUAGUUUGCUUAAAAUAAUAAAGAGGAAUAGAACGGGAAACUUACCUUUUUUGCCGGAACCACCGAGUUGUUGCCAUCUCCGUCGUAAUUGGAGCUUUGGCACAAGGCUGAGCGGUGGCAUUCAAAGGUUGAUGAAACCCUAAAGAAGCCAUUUCAUAUGCUGCUUCAGAGAAAGGGGGAACAAAAUUGUUUCCUUAAAUUUGGCUUUUUUUUAAAACUUAAAAAGAAGCAGAACGGUGCCAUCCAGUGGGGUCCACGCAUUUCCACCCUAAGUGGGAAAUUUGCAGUUAGACCUCCUCUUUUGCGACAUGUUUGGAUUAAACCUAUCGUUCCUUUUUAAUUUGGCCCAAAUGUUUCUGCCUUUGUUCAUUUCAGCCCAUAUCGCUGCACACCGUUUUGG